Molecule: long non-coding RNA, 2952 nt
Organism: Cyprinus carpio carpio
Lineage: Eukaryota; Metazoa; Chordata; Actinopteri; Cypriniformes; Cyprinidae
Source: Ensembl
AAAAAGUCUAACUAGUAAAAUGUUUACACGUUAUGUGAAAACUAGUACAAGUAUAUGAAUAAAUAAAAAGAGACUUACUCAUGUUUAUGAUCUCUGCUGAAUAAAGUGCUUCAUUCUUUUUUUCAGAGGAAAUCCAAAUCUCUAAUCCUCAACCACAUCACAUCUUUUUGGGGUGAAUUAUGUCUUAUUCCUCUCAUCGCGAAGCAAACAGUAAAAUAAAAAAAACUUGAAGAACAAUCUCGCUGCGUUGUCUUCUGUUGUGUGGGCGUAUUCAAGCCGCGCGCUUCAGUGAAACAUUUGAAUCUCAAAAGCGCGUUCAGCGCGGGGGCGUGGUCGCAUUAGAAUAUAAUGAAGGGAGACGUGAAAAACGGACAUCGCGUUGUUUUCAUAUGGAUUACUUUAUCACAGAAUAUUUGUUUUCGGCAGCACUUGUUUAGUUUAAAAGUAGACAUGUCAGGCUUUCUAUAGAUAUCUCUCUCAUGUCUCUGUGUUGAGUAUUCACGGAGUUACAGUUCAUUUUAAUGACGCGUUUGUUAAAGAAGAUCAGCGCAGACAAAGGCUGCAGACAGCACUCCUUGUUUGUUAUCUUUAUUUUAUAAGUGCACAAAGUUUUGUUGUUAUUAUGUCUGUAUACAAAAAAAAGUAGACCCUUUACAGAUUCGAUUGAUGUAUUGCUCUUAUCUGUACGAUCAAAACUGAAAGUGUAAUUUAAGUUCUUUUCGGGGUUAUCAGGAGAAAAUACCCCAAAACGCGUAUACGCGUUAAUCGACUUCAGAGGGUUAAUGCCCAAUAAUCCGUACAGUUCGCGUAACGUACGUGACAUAAACGCCGUGCCCUGAUCGGUGAGGAUCUCUUUCGGAAUCCCCACCCGGGAGAUAAGACGAAACAGGACGUCCGCAACACUCUUAGCGGAAAUGUUGCAGAGGGCCACUGCUUCAGGAUAUCGUGUUGCAUAGUCAACUAUGACUAAUGCAAAGCGAUGUCCCCGUGCAGAUCGCUCUAAUGGCCCGAUGAGGUCCAUACCAAUUCUCUCGAAGGGGACCUGCAUUAAGGGAAGGGGGCGCAAAGGCACUUUUGGGGCGGCCGGUGGAUUCACCAACUGACAUUCAGGACAAGACACGCACCACCUGCGCACGUUGUCGUGAAUGCCCAGCCAAAAGAAACGGGUCAUGGGGCGAUUCAGUGUUGCUGCCUGUCCCAAAUGGCCCACCAUAGGAUUAGAAUGAGCCGCAUGGAAAAGCAUUUCCCUGCGGCCCUUCGGAAUCAACAACUGGGUUGUAUUCACUUUUGUACGAGCAUCUUGGAUCACUCGAUACAACCGAUCUCUUAAAAUGGCAAAAUACGGAUAGGUGAGCGGGUGGGCAGGUUGGAGAGGCUGGCCAUCGAUGGAGCGGACCUGUUGGAAAGCGUGUUUUAAUGUCUCAUCCUGAGACUGCUCCAGAGGAAAGUCGUCACGCUCCGAGAGAAUAAGUCUCCGGAUUUCGCUUGGUUCCCCUGAAGCAGAACCCCGCGGUCCUGGCUCAGUUUCUCCCACCUGCACACACGCGGCCUCCUUCCGUGCCUUCUUUCCCCAAGAGGCAUCCGCACAUAACCACCCCAAUAAAACAGUAAACGUGGGCCAAUUUGUUCCCAAAAUUAUUGGAUGCCGGAGGUGGGGACUAACCGCCACCCUCCACACUAUGCUUUUGUCCCCGGAAUUGAAUAAUAAUCGGGACCACCGGGUACUCCACCACAUCCCCGUGUACGCACCGCACCUUAACCACGUGGCUUGUAUCCAAUGCCCCCGGUUGAAUCAGGCUUUGAUGGAUUGAGGUUUGGUUACAUCCUGAAUCCACCAAGGCCGGAUAUGUACCCCCCUUGAUACUCACAGGUAUUUGGUACUCUCCUGCCUGACCGGGGGUGGCCUGUGGGACGUCCGGGACCCGGAUCAUCGUCCCCACCCCCAUCACUGGACACCUGUCCACGAAAUGCUCCGGGUCCCCACAACGCCAACAGGCCAGCCCAGACCUCCCCGCCGCCCCAGUGGCAGGGAGUGGAUUGGAGAAUUGGCGUGGAGAGAGCGGGGAAACAGAAGUGCUGUCCCCUCCGGCAGCCAUCAGCCCCACCCACCUGGGCGGGGCCCUUGGAUUCCCAUAAUGUCCUUGGUCAAUCCCCCCGGGGCGGGACACGAGGAGGGCCGGCUGGACGGGACCUAGGGAGAGGGACAGGUCGAGAGAGAGAUGGGGAGGAGAGAGAGGGAGAGAGAGAGAGAGAUGUUAAGGGUUCGCCGACCCCUGGGCACGCCACCAUGUGGUCCUCUGCCAGAUGGACAGCCGAGUCCAGUGUUUUUUUCGGUAGCUGAGCGAUGAAUUGCUCCAGCACCACGAGGUCGAUGAGGUGUUCCACGUCACUUCCCUCGGCCAGUAGCCACUUGUGGCAGGAGUCCCGGAGCUGCUGGGCCAUCGCAAAUGGCCGACCAGAUUCCCCCAGGUCCAGGGAACGGAACCGCUGGCGAUGCUGCUCUGGGGUCCGGCCGACCCGCUGAAUGAUGGCCCUUUUCAGGUCGUCGAAGACCAGGAGGUUCACCACCAGUAGCUGUUGUGCGGCCACCUGGGACUCUGCAUGGCGGCGGCACUCCUUCUUCCUUUCCCGGGUUUCGGCACCAGUGUAGUAAGUUUGUGUGAGGAAAGGAAGAGGACAAAGGGGUCGGCUGGACUGCUGAAGUAUUUUAAUUCAAGUCACAAAAAUAAACUUUACACCAACGGUGACUUACUCUGACAUCAACACAGACACAAUCGCAUAACACUUCCAGGUGACUUCUUCCGGUUCUGGGGUACGUCAGCAGUCCGUCUCUCUCUCCACUGCUUCUGUCUCUCCUGGCAUUUUAUACUCUCUCCACGCCAAUUACUGAAACAAGAGACAGGUGUUGCUCGUCUCUGCCCAAACCACUCACUUACCGUUCGUCUCCUGAUU